Long non-coding RNA from Etheostoma cragini (Arkansas darter), 149 nucleotides. RefSeq lists it as uncharacterized. NCBI's taxonomy places the organism in Eukaryota, Metazoa, Chordata, Actinopteri, Perciformes, Percidae. The transcript has 3 exons. The record is from RefSeq and is a predicted model, not a curated record.
AUCACAACUGUCAACGGCACAAUUCAGUAAGUAAUUUGUCAGCUUUAAAAGCCAUCCGAGCAUUUUGUCAAAAAAGUAUGGAUUACAUUUUUUUUAUUGAUAUGUAAUUUUAAAUAACGCAUAGUACACCUAAAAUUGUUUAGUUGAUU